Anser brachyrhynchus (Pink-footed goose) is the source of this 1676-nucleotide long non-coding RNA. NCBI's taxonomy places the organism in Eukaryota, Metazoa, Chordata, Aves, Anseriformes, Anatidae. The record is from Ensembl.
CUUCUCCCAUGAAAAACAGGACAUACAUAGGAACAGCACCACACUGGGGAGGAAAAUGUUCAAGUGAGAUGAGACCAUGUCUUACUUAAAAUGUAGGCAGCCCAGCUCUUCCUCGGAGCCCCUUUUCCGGGGACUGAUGCUUCCUGGAUGGAAAUGCCUCUGAAGAACAUCACUUUUCUUACCUUCAGAGUACAUAUAUAUAUAUCUAUAUGCAUAUAUAUAGAUAAAUAAUAAUUAGGCAGCCCUUCUGUUUUCUGUGUCCACAAGCUCCUCUUGCCAAACUCAUCUGAUGAAGAAACAAAUUGACACUGGAAACAUUCCUCUGACCACCCUGCUUCAUGUACUGCGUGCGGCACAUCAGCGCAGGAGGACUCCCUGUUUCUAAAAUUGAGCUGUCUCUUUAUUAACAGACUCACUUACCAGGACACCGAGCCAGCAAAUCAGAUGCACACAACUCGCCUGUCUGUGCUGCCUCCAAGCUCUGCCUUCCUGCAACAUGUGCUCUUCUCUCCAAGGUCAGAGCAGCACUAGAUGGUAGGACUGAUGAAGCCAAAAGGCCAGCAGAGGUGAGGCCCUUCCAGGCAAGCAUGUGCAAGCCAGAGGAUGGAGCUGAGGAAGAGGACGUCUCUGUGAAGCAACAACUGAACGGUGGCCUCACAGGGAGAACAGCAGCAGUAGAGUAGUGUCAACCCUGAAGAGAUCAAAUUGCCUCAGUUUCAACAAUAUAUAUUUAUAUGUUUGUCAGUAAAGAAAUUGUACGUUCUCCUGUGAAUGAAAAAAUGCAUACUUUUAACAAAAUCUCAGCAUGGCUUGCACAGCACCUUAAAAAAACAAAGCCUGUGUUUAAAUGAGGAUACUCACAGAGCCAAGGUACAUGGACUGUGAGGAAAAAGGAGCUUAGCCUGUUACAGUACUUAAAUACUGAAUCAUUUCCAGUAUUCUGUGCCAGAUAAUCAUUCAAAUGUAAGUUGUACCAGUAUGAUCUGAUACGUCAAGAAACAAGCAAGUUACAUCAGUAGUCUUGAUCUUAUCUGAACACAAAACCUGUGUCUCUUUUUUUUUGUGUUCACUGCAUCAUUUCCCAAAGUUUUUUCUCAUCUCCCCUUCCCAGAUGAACUUCUCCAUUCAUUGUCUGCUAAUUCCUCUAUACAAUUAGCAUACCCCAGUAUAACUCCUUCAGUUCAUUGUUUGCUGCCUGAGCACAACCCCAGAAUUUGUUUAGUUGUCCUUUGAGUAGCCUGAAGGCUAUUUCAGUCACUAAGAGAGUGAUUCGAUUGCUUAACUUAGGUACCUGAUGGUAUUUGAGAAGCUCUGGGGUAUCUAAGCUGCCCAUCAGAGACCAAUAACACAGACUCUGUGGGAGUCCUACACACUUGGCAGGUAGAGACGAGGAUGGGUGACCUUUGCUUCAUUUGAAGUUAUGCAAGAUGCCUAUAUUUGGGUAACUGAACUGAGCCUCAACAGCUGAUUCUUAUGUGUAUUAUUGUACUUUUCAGUUUAACUAUAAACCAAUGUUUUCAUGCCUAAUGCUGUAAAUUUCUUCCUGCAAUCUGUUUUCUGAAAAGCAAUUAACAGGUAAUUAUACUCUACUUCAUCUUUAGCUCGUGUAUGGGAAACUCAAGCACAGGGAGUUAGGAUAACAUUCAGGAAUAAACUGUUAUUUACAAAUUUAUUCA